Non-coding RNA from Benincasa hispida (wax gourd), 253 nucleotides. Lineage: Eukaryota; Viridiplantae; Streptophyta; Magnoliopsida; Cucurbitales; Cucurbitaceae. The record is from RefSeq and is a predicted model, not a curated record.
UGUGGGCACGCUUUGAUUACUGAAUUAAGUUGACUUAACCCUUGUAUCUUUAAGGUUCCAAGCUGUCGUCCAUUGGGAGUUAAAAUCUAUUGGAAGGAGAUUUUGGAGUGGUUGUUAAUCAAGUUCCUUGGGGUCGUUUCUUCAAAUCGCGGUCAUUGUUUGGUUGUCGGAGUUUAUCUGUGGAAUUUCGAUUAAGGUAAGGGUAGAGAUGCACUGGUGAUGGCGCAGCGGAAUUCGUGAUCAUGCCACUGGG